GGGUGGAUGAAGAGGGUAGACUGGAGGAGAGGCAGUUGAGGCUGUGCUGGUGGUGGAGAGAAGACAGCUGUGUGCGAGGCAGGCCUGGUGGUGGAAGGAGGAGAGAAGUGUGCUCAUAGGUGAGCAUGGCAGGGCGGGAGAAGGACACAGGCUCUGCGUGGGAUGCUGGGGUGAAGGAGCAGGCAUGAUUUCUGCGAGUGGGAGGAAGGUUUUGACUGAUCUGUCACAGCGGUAGGGUCCAUUUCAGAGAGGGGACACACCAGUCCCCUCUACCCCAGAAUUGCAUUUUUUUUGUCCCCUUUGCUGUCAGCACCAUGGAGGCACCCAACGACUUGUGACUUUGCACCUUGAACUGACUGUUUGGUGAUGCCCUUCUCUCUAGGAGGAUGCAUGGGCUCAUGCUUUAGGCCUUAGCAUCAUGAUUUCUAGGUUCUCCUCCCAGCCCUGCCAUGCUGUAGGAAGCCACGCUUGCAGAACCCACAGUGCCUUAGUUUACCGGGCUGCAUAAUGGGAACAUGGCCAGCUUCAGCAGGAAGCCGUGAGAUGUGGAGCUAGGAGUCUGUCUGUCAAGUACUUUGCAAUUCCUUCCUGGCAGAUGCUGUCAAAGCGUAUGAGAUUUGUUUUGUUCAGGAGCGAAGCUUUUAGCGUAGCAGGUGUUUGAGGUUUCAGGCUCUCUCCUUUCCCCCUUCCGCCCCCUUCUUCCAGGAGCACUGAAUGCUAGCAAGUGAAUUUGUAAAUUCAUGGCAAGCCUGAGUGAGAGCUGCAGGCUGUCAUUACCCAGAUCAUAUUUUUUUUAAAACUACAAAUAAAGAGAGUGACAUUUCAUCAGAGCACCUGAAUGGUGUAUUUGCUUUAUAGCCAGCCCCGGAGUGCUUGGAGCCAUGGGCUGCCGUUCAAGGUUUUUUACUCUGUGAAACAAGCUCAGGGGGAGGAGAUGACCUUCCUCCUUAAAGAAAAGAAAACCCAUGUUUUUUUGGCAAAUGGUAUGUGGAGGGAGGUGGGGCUUGAGUUAAGUGCUGAUGUAUUUGCUUUUACACUCAAGCUUUGCGUGACUGAGGUCUGCAAAGGGGAAGCCAAGUGCCAGACCUCAGUGGUGCUCUUCCCCUCUUGGAGCCAGUGGGAGCUGAACUGGAAAAAAUGUUUUGCAAAGGCUUGGCUCAUUGAAAGUUUCUUACCCGGACUUAGGCCAGAGACACGGAGAGUCCAAGAGAAGCGAAACAUGGGUCAGUAAACACUGCUGAAGUGACAUUUUUCAAGUGUGUGCCAUCUUCUGCUUUUGCGCACCUUCUAAGGCAUACGCUUCAGCACUUAAUGGCAUGAGACUGUGUCCCACAGGCAGGGGGCAUAGAAACAAGCCAGCAGCAGCAAUCGGCCGUGUCAGUGUUUCCGUUGGCAGACUUUAGCACCUUUCCUGCUAAGGGAAUCAUCAGCGUCCUUCUCUGGGCUGGUUCAAGCAUCCCUUUCCUCAGAUGUAGUGGCCCCAGGAGACAUCAACCAAGGCUGAAGUUCUGGCCCACUGACUUCACUGGGGAACCUCUCCUUUUGCUCUAGUUAGGAUCAAACAUGCAGACAGCAACAUUAACUUCUUCAAUGCACGGGGGUCAAACCUUGUCCCAUGACAGCCUUUGGCCAUUGACUCUAGUUGAAUCCAGGUGUGAUCCAAGGUGUUCAGAUUCAGUUGUCUCUUGCUGGAAAACUAAGGCUACCUGAACUGCAAAGAAUGUAUUGAUGUGCCUUUUGGGUUUUUUUUAAGAGAACCCUCUAAAAUAUGCAAGCAAUUUGCUUCACUUUCUAGCUUCAUGCACUAAACAUUAUUGAAAUCUAUCCCCAGUAGGGGCGCCCUCUUUACGAUCAGUACUGGAGUGGUUAACAUUUCUAUGGAAGCCAUGAUGAAACUGCAUAUUAAAUAACAGAAAUGAUAGUUCCGAGUGUGCAUUUGGAAGAGAUCACUGCUUGUGGGGCAGAUGUAAACCAUAAGCCCUGUGAGGCAGGUAGUGAAAACACGUUACCGUUUUUCAUCUCCGGCCAAAACAGAGCAGAACUGAGGGGAUUUUUUUCCAGUCUGUGGACAAUGAAAGGAGAGUAUUUUUCCUCCACGUUUCCAUUGGAGGACUGACAUUCUUCCUAGCAGUUAACGGAGUUAUGUGUGACUUGCUGUCCUGCCUUGAAGUCCUACUCUUAGAAGUCGGUGAAAGAAAGGGACAUCGAUAUGAUGGAAGAUCAGGCCGAGUAUAAAAUCCACAUCUGCUUCUUUCACAACGUCCUCAAAAUGACCCUGUUCCUUAGAAGAGGGCUGCAUGCAAAGAUUGUCUAAGGCAGAUGAAGGAUUUGUGCUGACAGCGUAUUGCACAGAUCAUCAGCAAGUGAGAACAGGAAGAAUGGACUCACUGCUUGGGAGACUGUUUUAGUGACUAGUUCUUGAAUUCUUCCCCGUGGUAUCACUCCUGUUGUCCAAUGUGGCGACCUUGGUGAAUUCUUUGCCAUUUCUUUGUCACUGCCAGCUGUUUGUGCAGAGGAUAAAAACUUGGCCUUCCAAGGGCUUUGUAGACAUGGCAAAGUUUUAUAGCAACCCUGCGACCAUCUGCAUAGCAAGACUUCCUAGCUGUACAAUUGGGAACUACCUUGUAGAUCAGGACUAGAACGUGUAACCUCCUGCUCCAGAGCGCCUUGAGCUAAAAGAGAAUUUUGCCUUUGUUGCCGAGUUGUGAGAAGCAUUGAUUUUUGGUUCACUGACAGAGACAAGCAAACGAAAAAGAAAUCUUCACUUUGUGUUGACCUGGAACAUUUCUUUCAACCCAAAACAAAAUAUUUUGUUCUGUUUCUAUGGGCUUAUGAUUUUUUUAACCUUUUCUUAUUGUUCCAUUUAGGCACAUUUUGAAAUGAAACCUCAUUUCAAAACAGCAAGUUGAGAACGCUGCAUCUUGAAAACUACUUCAACUUUUUCAAAUGAUUUGGUGGGGCAAAAGCUAUUCAUCAAAUCCAGUUGUGAUGUACCCCCCAAGUGCAUGUUUUGUGGAAAUUAAACCAUUCAUCUGCAAAAUCAUACAUCCUACUUGGCUCUUCUUGUAGGGCCAUCUUGCAGUUUAUUUCUGAACCCAGGCAGACGAGGGCAGUGCUACAUAUGCCCACUACUUAAUUCAUUGCAACGUUGGUAUUUUCAGUUGACUUAAGGGAGCAAACUACAGCACAAAUGCUAAGAGAGCACAGCCAGAGCUGAAGAAAGGAUCAGAAGGGAGGAAUCCCUGCUUCUCAGUCCCAAGUUAAAACCAGAGCUUCAUUUACCUCUACUUUUGUCAUGCAAAAUUGGUCGAUGUCAACUUCAGCUAAGCAGGUUUGAUUUCCGUGUUAGGAUUUCAAAAUUCAUGUUCCUGUGAGUUAUUUCAGCUUUUUUUGUUUUUCCUGCAUAACACCGGAGAAGUGGUAUUGCUGAGUUUGGGAAAGAGUUACAGAAAGCAGCUCCUCUUUCUUCACAGAUACUCCCUGUUGCAAGCUGUAAGGCACAAGUGGCAUAAGACAGAAAUGGCUGGAUUGCAGUGUGGUGCCUGUUCCUCACGGUACAUGGGAGAUGAUGCAUGCAUUGCCCAAGGGAUGUCAAAUGUUACGUUUGGGACAAAAACUUCAGAGCUGGCUAGGAAGUCUGGAUGCUUUGGCUUUUGGGUGCUUUACUUGAGAUACCUUGAACCUGAUUUUCAGAGGUGCUAAGUAUCUGACUUUCCCUGCAACUUCAGUCUGUCUGACCCCAAAAAGUUGGAUUGAGUGCGUCUCAAGACACCCAAAAAUGUUUGCCUCCAGUUUCACUAGUCAUUUCCAAAUAUAUUGACAGUAGGAAUGAAGAAACCGGCAGGCUGCCGUGUGGCUGAACUAGUACAAGGAAAAGGAAAGAGUGCCGUUUUGACGGAUUUCCUCCACACAAUUUCCCCUGCUGCAUAUCAGUUUUUGCUUCUGUUUUUUGUUCUUCUGCUUCCUCUCACAGGGGGUUGUUUGAGCCGUUGGGACAAGAGAACCAUAUCAUAUUUGCACCAGGCCCCUCGUAGGACAUCUUUUUCUCUUCAUUUCUACAAAAUUGUAGUUUGUAAGUGCUAAGAGUGGGGAUUUGACAUUGUGCAAGUGUCUGUCUGUUUUGCUGGCAGACAAGCGCCACUUGAAUUUUUGCGAGACUUGUAUAUCCCCAGACUGGAGUCUAAGCUCAGAUUACCAGUAUCUUCUAGGGAGUGAAAAGCAAGCCAACAGGCUCUUCAAGUCAGAGAUCCUGGUCCUCGGUAUACUUCCUUCUGCUCUGUGCAGUCUGUAAGUUUUCAGGCGGGUCCUCAGAAAUGAAGUUUCAUUUGGUUUGCAUAAACUGAAGCUCUGGGCCACUGGUUUUCCCCCGUCUCUACACAGAGCACUGCCUGUUUUUUCUCCGUUUGGUUGGUUUUUAUUUCAGAUUAAGAAAAGCAACAGCAAGCAACCAGGUGCAAGUGAGGGAGAGAAAACACCAGCGAUUCGGUCCAUAUUACGUGUUAUCUGAGCUGAUCUAAAAUCCCACCUCGCCGCUGCCCUUCAAGACAGGCAGAAUGCUUCAGAAAUGUAAAGGCACCACACAGAGAGAGAACCGAGUUGCAGCGGUGCUUUAGCUCUGUGAAUGCAAUGAAUGAUCAGCCUAUUUGUUUUGAGGGACAGCUGUUCAGCUGGAAAGCUGCAUCAUGGCUCUGCAUGCUAACUGCAUUUCAGUAACUUAGCUGACAUGACUAGGUGUCCUCCUUGCCAAAGUUACUGCACCAGAUAUCCAUCCAGAUGCCUCCUGCACUCCCAGCCACGAAAGGCUAUGGGCGCUUUGGGGUCAUGUUUCUCUUUCUCAGAGACUGUAGAUGAUCUCAGUGUGGUGCAAGGUUUGGGAUAGGAUUUCAACAUUCACCAGCUGGUCCAAACAUGGAGAUUUCUUUAUCAGAUCCCCAGCCUGAUCAAAUUAUUGACUCAAGUUAAGGUAACCUUGGAUGGACAGGGAUACGUAUUCCCUCUAUAACUAAAGCCCCUUGCAUGGGGAAGGUAGGGUAUAGUCCCUUCUGAAAAAUUCACUUUGGAAAAAACAGCACAAACUGGGAAGAGCCAGCAGCCAUCCAGCACAGCGGGAGCCCUCCCUACCCAGCAGGCACUCAUCUGCUUGUAGGAUCAGGCCGCAAAAAAAUGAGCAGCAAAGUAGGCUAAGUGCCAGGGUUCUGUGUCAGAAAUCUUUUAAUGAUGCGCUGAAAGAUGGCACCUUCUUCUGUCAGCUGUGAGGCUUGUUCUUUUGGAGGCAAAAGACCUUUUUAAACAAGUAGCAAUCCCACCAGAUUUCAGUUGUCACGAUCCAUCCUCUGUAACAGAUAGCAGCAAAGCAUUAGGCAUCUGGUUUACGGAGCCUGGUUACCCUGCUUUAAGUAUACACUUAAAUGUAGCAUCCCUGCCAUCCACAUGAAACAGGACUAUUCUUUACAGUAUCAACCAUAGCGCAAUAAAAUCCGUCUGCCAGCUCCACAGCGCUCUUAUACCAUCUGCCUUAUAGCCUCUUUUUGCUAUUGUGUUUGGAAAUCAUAGGGCUGAUGCUUCUAAGGGGUGGGGGUUGUUGGCUACAAACCAGAAUGAUGUUGCAGCAUAAGAGACAGAUCCCAACUACUCCUGCAGCAAGGACUGGGGUGUUUUCUGGAAUGAAAGAGAAAUUCACUCUUCUUUUAAAGAGAGGCUGGAGGCUUUACAAAUACAUGUAAUUAUCUCAGCAAA
Gavialis gangeticus (Gharial) is the source of this 5736-nucleotide long non-coding RNA. RefSeq lists it as uncharacterized. NCBI's taxonomy places the organism in Eukaryota, Metazoa, Chordata, Crocodylia, Gavialidae. The transcript is spliced from 2 exons. The record is from RefSeq and is a predicted model, not a curated record.